GAUGAACGCUGGCGGCGUGCCUAAUACAUGCAAGUCGAGCGAACAGACGAGGAGCUUGCUCCUCUGACGUUAGCGGCGGACGGGUGAGUAACACGUGGAUAACCUACCUAUAAGACUGGGAUAACUUCGGGAAACCGGAGCCAAUACCGGAGAAUAUAUUGAACCGCAUGGUUCAAUAGUGAAAGACGGCUUUGCUGUCACUUAUAGAUGGAUCCGCGCCGCAUUAGCUAGUUGGUAAGGUAACGGCUUACCAAGGCAACGAUGCGUAGCCGACCUGAGAGGGUGAUCGGCCACACUGGAACUGAGACACGGUCCAGACUCCUACGGGAGGCAGCAGUAGGGAAUCUUCCGCAAUGGGCGAAAGCCUGACGGAGCAACGCCGCGUGAGUGAUGAAGGUCUUCGGAUCGUAAAGCUCUGUUAUUAGGAAAGAACAAAUGUGUAAGUAACUAUGCACGUCUUGACGGUACCUAAACAGAAAGCCACGGCUAACUUCGUG
RNAcentral lists this ribosomal RNA (497 nucleotides) under uncultured bacterium. RNAcentral's name for it is "partial 16S ribosomal RNA". It matches the Rfam family "Bacterial small subunit ribosomal RNA", at positions 28 to 507 of the family's 1533-position model. The record is from RNAcentral.